Molecule: long non-coding RNA, 203 nt
Organism: Xenopus tropicalis (tropical clawed frog)
Lineage: Eukaryota; Metazoa; Chordata; Amphibia; Anura; Pipidae
Exons: 2
Source: RefSeq, a predicted model, not a curated record
CAACAGCCAAGAAGCACUGCUGCCUACAAGCAAUUGGUGUGCAGAAGCCUGAUUGUGCUGCUUUAUCUUGAAAAGCUAUGGAAGGUUACAUAUAUGUAAGGUUUUAUAUCCAAGACUCACCUGAUUCCUUUGGCCCAAACAGCUUUGUUCAGUCUGGUAUCAAUACGAACAUCAGGAGUACGCAUUUCUUUCACUGCAAACUU